CCUACGGGAGGCAGCAGUGGGGGAUAUUGCACAAUGAGGGGAACCCUGAUGCAGCGACGCCGCGUGUGGGAAGACGGUCCUCUGGAUUGUAAACCACUGUCCCCAGGGACGAAAAUGACGGUACCUGGGGAGGAAGCUCCGGCAAACUACGUGCCAGCAGCCGCGGUAAUACGUAGGGAGCGAGCGUUGUCCGGAAUUACUGGGUGAAAGGGGAGCGUAGGCGGGGAUGCAAGUUGGGUGUCAAAACUACCGGCUCAACUGGUAGUCGCACUCAAAACCGCAGCUCUUGAGUGAAGUAGAGGCAGGCGGAAUUCCUAGUGUAGCGGUGAAAUGCGUAGAUAUUAGGAGGAACACCAGUGGCGAAGGCGGCCUGCUGGGCUUUUACUGACGCUGAGGCUCGAAAGUGUGGGGAGCAAACAGGAUUAGAUACCCUUGUAGUC
This 440-nucleotide ribosomal RNA is filed under the name uncultured bacterium. RNAcentral's name for it is "partial 16S ribosomal RNA". It matches the Rfam family "Bacterial small subunit ribosomal RNA", at positions 338 to 795 of the family's 1533-position model. The record is from RNAcentral.